GGCUCAGUGAUCAGGAACAGGGCUCAGUGAUCAGGACCAGGGCCCAGUGAUCAGGAACAGGGGCCAGUGACUGGGUCCAGGGCUCAGUAAUCAGGACCAGGGCUCAGUGAUCAGGACCAGGGCUCAGUGAUCAGGAACAGGGGUUAGUGAUCAGGAACAGGGCUCAGUGAUCAGGACCAGCAUUCAGUGAUCAGGACCAGGGCUCAGUGAUCAGGAACAGGGCUGAGUGACCAGGACCAGGGCUGAGUGAUCAGGUCCAGGGCUGAGUGAUGAGGACCAGGGCUGAGUGAGGAGGUCCAGGGCUGAGUGAUGAGGUCCAGGGCUGAGUGACGAGGUCCAGGGCUGAGUGACGAGGACCAGGGCUGAGUGACGAGGUCCAGGGCUGAGUGACGAGGACCAGGGCUGAGUGACCAGGACCAGGGCUGAGUGAUGAGGUCCAGGGCUGAGUGACAAGGACCAGGGCUGAGUGACGAGGUCCAGGGCAAAAAACAGGAGUAGGACUCAGUGAUCAGGACUAAGGCUCAGUGAUCAAGGCUAGAAUUAAGUGAUCAGGAACAGGGACCAAGUAGUAGGACCAGAGCUCAGUGAUCGGUAAACGGGGGCGGCUCAGUAGCAGGUGCCAUCCGCCUCCGCCAUGACAACAGACACAUUGAUGUGGGUGGGUUUACCCGCCAUGCGGUCGAUGGUCUUCUGUGUGAAGGCCAGCGGCAGGGCCUCGUGGCCCACCAUGCAGGAGAAGGUCUCCCCCUUCUUCCAGUCCUCAGCUGCCACGCGCAGUAUGCUGGUUACAGCGUAGGUGGUGGUGCCCUGGCUGGGCUCCUGCCGGGAUGCCCAAGUCAGGUACUUCUCGCGGGGCAGCUCCUGUGACCCCUGCAGCCAGCGAACCAGCACAUCCUUGGGGCUGAAGCCACGUGCCAGGCACGUCAGCGUCACCAGCUCGUUCAGGGCCAGGGGUCUUCAACUCGGGGUGGGCAGCAGUGCAGGUGAAGGUCUCCCCAUGGUUCCAUGGCUGGGCACAGCCAGGCAGGACACUGGACACGCUGUAGCAGCCACAGAGGUCACGCUCAGGUGGUCCUUGAACAGCGCUCUUCCCACUUGAGGGCGUCCAGGUGAAGGUGGCACCAGAGGCAUCUCUCAGGCCGGUCAGUGUGCACGUGAGGUUCGCUUCUGAACCUAAGAGCAGGUCCUCGAGGGCCGGUCGGUGCAGCGACAGUCGGGGGUGGCAGCAUGGGGGAGGGACUUGCCGUCUGGGCACUGUGUGGCCGGCAGGGUCAGCUGGCUGCUCGUGGUGUACAGGUCCCCGGAGGCAUCCUGGCUAGGUGGGAAGUUUCUGGCGGUCACGUUCUGUCCGCUUUCGCUCCAGGUCACACUGAGUGGCUCCUGGGGGAAGAAGCCCUGGACCAGGCAUGCGACCCGGGAAGGUGUGCACGCCGCUGGUCAGAGCGCCUGAGUUCCACGACACCGUCACCGGUUCGGGGAAGUAGUCCUUGACCAGGCAGCCCAGGGCCGCUGUGGCCCCUGAGUUCCACGACACCGUCACCGGUUCGGGGAAGUAGUCCUUGACCAGGCAGCCCAGGGCCGCUGUGCCCUCACAGGACUCAGUGUCUAGUCAGACUGAUACAUGCUCAGAAAAGGAAUCAGAUUUCAAAAUGAAUAUGCAUAAUUAAAGAACCAGAGAUCAGUGAUCAGGAACAGGGAUCCGCGGUCUGGUCCAGGGCUCAGUGGUCAGGAACAGGGCCCAGUGAUCAGGAUCAGGGCUCAGUAAUCAGGACCAGGGCCCAGUGAUCAAGACCAGGGCCCAGUGAUCUGGUCCAGGGCUCAGUGAUUUGGUCCAGGGCUCAGUGAUCAGGAACAGGGGUCAUUGACUGGGUCCAGGGCUCAGUAAUCAGGACCAGGGCUCAGUGAUCAGGAAUAGGGGUUAGUGAUCAGGAACAGGGCUCAGUGAUCAGGUCCAGGGCUCAGCAAUCGGGAACAAGGGUCAGUGAUCAGGUCCAGGGGCCAGUGAUCAGGACCAGGGGCCAGUGAUCUGGUCCAGGGCUCAGUGAUUAGGAACAGAGGUCAGUGGUCAGGAUCAGAGCUCAGUUACCAGAAAUAGGGCCCAACGAUCAGGAUCAGGGCUCAGUGAUAAAUACUAGGGUUCAGUGAUCAAAAGGAGGUCUGAGUGAUUAGAAUCAGGGCCCAGUGAUCAGGACCAGGACUGGAUGAUCAGCACCAGGACUCAGAAGUCAAGAGCAGAGCCCAUUGAUCAGGACCAGGAGUCAGGGACCAGAACCAGGGGCCAUUGGUCAGAACCAGAGCCCAGUGAUUAGGAACAAGACCCAGUGAUGAGGGCCAGGGCUCAGUGAUCAGGACCAAGAUUCAGGGAUAAGAACAGGACCCAGUGAUCAGGACCAGGACCCAGUGAUCAGGACCAGGGCUCAGUGAUUGACUAUUGACUAGGACCAGAGCUCAGUUAUUGACUGUUGACUGGGACAAGGGCUCAGUGGUCAGGACCAGAGCAUAGUUAGCAGGACCAGGGCCCAGUGAUCAGGGCCAGGGCUCAUUGAUCCAGAACAUGGCCCAGUGAUCAGGAUCAAGACUCAGCGAUCCAGACCAGGACUGAGUUAGGACCAGAGCCUAGUGAUCCAGAUCAGGGCUCAGUGAUCACGACCAGGGCCCACUGAUGAGGACUGGAAUUGAGUGAUCAAGUCUAGGACUCAGGGAUCAGGACCAAGACUCAGUAAUCAGGACCAGAGUUCAGGGGUAAGGACCAGAACACAGCAUGACCAGGGCCCAGUGAUCAGGAGCAAAGCCCUUUGAUCAGGGCCAGGGUUCAUUGAUCAGGAGCAGGGUUCAGUGAUUAGGAUCAGGGCCCAGUGCCCAGUGCCCAGUGACUAGCAUCAGGAUCUAAUAAUCAGGACCAGAGCUGAGUGAUCAGGACCAGGGCUGAGUGAUCUGGACCAGGACUGAGUGAUCAGGACCAGGGCUGGGUGAUCAGGACCAGGGCUGAGUGAUGAGGACUAGGAUGGAGUGAUCAGGACCAGGGCUGUGUGAUCUGGACCAGGACUGAGUGAUCAGGACCAGGGCUGGGUGAUCAGGACCAGGGCUGAGUGAUGAGGACCAGGGCUGAGUGAUGAGGUCCAGGGCUGAGUGAUGAGGACCAGGGCUGAGUGACCAGGACCAGGGCUGAGUGACGAGGUCCAGGGCUAAGUGAGGAGGUCCAGGGCUGAGUGAUGAGGUCCAGGGCUGAGUGAGGAGGUCCAGGGCUGAGUGAUGAGGUCCAGGGCUGAGUGAUGAGGACCAGGGCUGAGUGACGAGGUCCAGGGCUGAGUGACGAGGUCCAGGGCUGAGUGACGAGGUCCAGGGCUGAGUGACCAGGACCAGGGCUGAGUGAUGAGGUCCAGGGCUGAGUGAGGAGGUCCAGGGCUGAGUGAUGAGGACCAGGGCUGAGUGAUGAGGUCCAGGGCUGAGUGAUGAGGACCAGGGCUGAGUGAGGAGGUCCAGGGCUGAGUGAGGAGGACCGGGGCUGAGUGAUGAGGACCAGGGCUGAGUGAUGAGGUCCAGGGCCAAAAACAGGAGUAGGACUCAGUGAUCAGGACUAAGGCUCAGUGAUCAAGGCUAGAAUUAAGUGAUCAGGAACAGGGACCAAGUAGUAGGACCAGAGCUCAGUGAUCGGUAAACGGGCCCACUGGUCAGGACCAGGGCCCUGUGAUCAGGAUGAGGACCCAGUGAGGAGGACCAGGGCUGUCUAGGUUAUGAGGAACAGGGAUCCCAUGUAGUUCUUAGGAGCAGGCUUCUUUGCCAUGGUCUCUGGUGAAUCCAGCAUUCAUCCUUGGGCAGGGUGAGGAAGGUGAUGGAAGCGUGGGGCUGCUUGGGGGAGCAUGGAGUUUAUUCAGGGGUGGGGACAGGCGGGCGGCUCAGUAGCAGGUGCCGUCCACCUCCGCCAUGACAACAGACACAUUGACAUGGGUGGGUUUACCCGCCAAGCGGUCGAUGGUCUUCUGUGUGAAGGCCAGCGGCAGGGCCUCGUGGCCCACCAUGCAGGAGAAGGUGUCCCCCUUCUUCCAGUCCUCGGCUGCCACGCGCAGUAUGCUGGUCACAGCGAAGGUGGUGGUGCCCUGGCUGGGCUCCUGCCGGGAUGCCCAAGUCAGGUACUUCUCGCGGGGCAGCUCCUGUGACCCCUGCAGCCAGCGAACCAGCACAUCCUUGGGGCUGAAGCCGCGUGCCAGGCACGUCAGCGUCACCAGCUCGUUCAGGGCCAGCUCCUCCGACGGCGGCGGCAGCAGGUGGACCUCGGGCCGGAAUGUGUUUCCUCAGCCUGCCUCAGUUUCCCUCUGUACUUGGCAUGAGCACUGGAGCCCAGGAUUGGGAGGGAGGAGGCAGGCCAGGAAUAUGCUUUGCAAACCAGAGCACUGAGCAGGGCCCCGAGCAGGGUCUGGACCCACCGGAUUUUGAGAGGGUGGCGGUUAGCGGGGUCUUGGACUCGGGGUAGGCAGCAGUGCAAGUGAAGGUCUUCCCAUGGUUCCAUGGCUCGGCACAGCCCGGCAGGACACUGGACACGCUCCACAGAGGUCACGCUCAGGUGGUCCUUGAACAGCGCUCUUCCCACUUGAGGGCGUCCAGGUGAAGGUGACACCUGAGGCAUCUCUCAGGCCGGUCAGUGUGCACGUGAGGUUCGCUUCUGAACCUAAGAGCAGGUCCUCGAGGGCCGGUCGGUGCAGUGACAGUCGGGGGUGGCAGCAUGAGGGAGAUGGGGUAGGUGGAGUUGAGGGAGAUGGGGUAGGUGGAGUUGAGGGAACUGGAGUGGAGAGAUGGCCUGAGCUGGUCAGCACAUACUUCCCCAUGCCCCCGCCUCGCCCCUCCUGGCCUGUCCACCACCACCUCCUGGGGCUCGGCCCGCGGUCCACUCUGGUGUGAGUGAAGGGGCGGCUCCCUGUGGGGAACACGGGUGCAGGCGCAGUGUCAGGGCACGACGGGGUGGCCCCGCCCCACUCCCCAGCCUGCCCUCUGACCUGGGCAGGGCACAGUCACAUCCUGGCUGGGAUUCGUGUAGUGCUUCACGUGGCAUGUCACGGACUUGCCGGCUAGGCAGGUCAGCUGGCUGCUCGUGGUGUACAGGUCCCCGGAGGCAUCCUGGCUGGGUGGGAAGUUUCUGGCGGUCACGCCCUGUCCGCUUUCGCUCCAGGUCACACUGAGUGGCUCCUGGGGGAAGAAGCCCUGGACCAGGCAGGCGAUGACCACGUUCCCAUCUGGCUGGGUGCUGCAGAGGCUCAGCGGGAAGACCUUGGGGCUGGUCGGGGAUGCUGGAACACAGAAUGCACUGUGAGGACGCGGCCCUCUCCUCUAUACUGCCUCUCCUCUAUACUGGAGGAACCCAGCACAGAGAGGCCUGGUGACAGCCCCAUGGUCACACAGCUCCUGCACCACAGGCCUGCAGUUGGACCCUGCUGUCUGAUCCCAGCAACAUGGUUUCUGAACAUGCUCCUUAGAUAGGGUCUCUGAUUCAGGCCAUCCCAGACACAAGUUGUAUUAAACAGGGCUCUGCCAUGGAGUGGCUGAGUCCCCUGAGCUCCCUGACCGCAGCCCCUGCUCUGGGUGGGGGACAUGUCUUGCUCUAUCCCCUGCCCCUAGAGAGGAUUUUGGUGGGGGCUCUUAGGAGAGGGUCUGGGCUCUGAGUGCUGUGUGCAUGGGGUAGGGGUGGAGUGGCUUGGCUGUGACCCCAUCCCCCUGUCCCUGGUGGCCUAUGAGGUCUCGGGACUAGAGGCCAACAGGCUAAGCCAUGUCCCUGCCAGGCCCUCCAGGACAGGGCCUGCUAUACAGGGGAGCUCUGGGCCCAGCCCACUCCAAAUUUCCUUCAGGCAGUGGGCAAGAGAGAAGACAGAAUCAUGGUGCAACAGAGCUGCGUGGCCCUCAGAACCCCUAAGAACACAGCUGGGCUCAGGGCUCUGCAGGUGGAAUCACACUCAACCCACGGCCUCUUUCCCACAUUAGCAGCCACCUCAGCCCAUCCCGCCCAGCCCAGCCCAGGCCAGUCCAGCUCAGUCCAGCCCAGCCCAGCUCAGCCCAGGCCAGUCCAGCUCAGUCCCGCCCAGUCCAGCCCAAGUCAUCCUAGCCCAUCCCAUCCCAGCCCAGGUCAGCCCAGCUUAGUCCAGCUCAGCCCAGGUCAACCCAGCCCAGGCCAGCUCAGUACAGCUCAGCCCAGCCCAGGCCAGCUUAGUACAGCUCAGCCCAGCCCAGCUCAGCCUGGCCCAGGCCAGCUCAGUACAGCUCAGCUCAGCUCAGCCCAGCCCAGCCCAGCCCAGCCCAGUCCAGCCCAGUCCAGCCCAGUUCAGCUCAGCCCAACCCAGCUCAGCUCCGCCCAGCCUAAGAGGGGGUGGUGAGGACUCACCUGAGGAGACGGUGACCAGGGUUCCCUGGCCCCAGGGGUCGAACCAGUUGUCACAUUGUGACAACAAUGCCAGGACCCCAGGCAAGAACUGGCACCCCGCUAAGUCCCUGGGACCCUCUCAGACUGAGCCCGGGGAGGGCCCGGGGGUUGUUGGACAUUGGACCCCAGAGGCCCAGGGUGGCCCUGGCCACAGAGAGACCCGUGCUGCUGGGCUCAGGAGGAAGGAGCAUCUGGAGCCCUUGCCCCUCGUCUGUGUGGCCGCUGUUGCCUCAGGGCAUCCUCCUGAGCCCCCCAGGCUGCUCCGGGGCUCUCUUGGCAGGAGACCCAGCACGCUUAUUUCCCCCCAAAAAUGCAGCAAAACCCUUCAGAGUUAAAGCAGGAGAGAGGUUGUGAGGACUCACCUGAGGAGACGGUGACCAGGGUUCCCUGGCCCCAGUAGUCAAAGUAGUCACAUUGUGGGAGGCCCCAUUAAGGGGUGCACAAAAACCUGACUCUCCGACUGUCCCGGGCCGGCCGUGGCAGCCAGCCCCGUGUCCCAAGGUCAUUUUGUCCCCAGCACAAGCAUGACUCUGCCCACCCUUUGCCCCAGCAGCAGAGUCCCAGUUCCCAAAGAAAGGCCUUCUGCUGAACGUGGUCCCAAACAGCCGGAGAAGGAGCCCCGGAGGGCCCCACAUGGCCCAGCGCAGACCAAGGAGCCCCCGGACAUUAUCUCCCAGCUCCAGGACAGAGGACGCUGGGCCCAGAGAAAGGAGGCAGAAGGAAAGCCAUCUUACCUGAAGAGACGGUGACCAUUGUCCCUUGGCCCCAGAUAUCAAAAGCAUCAC
RNAcentral lists this long non-coding RNA (7191 nucleotides) under Homo sapiens (human). RNAcentral's name for it is "long non-coding RNA NONHSAT040379.2". Lineage: Eukaryota; Metazoa; Chordata; Mammalia; Primates; Hominidae. The record is from RNAcentral.